This 588-nucleotide ribosomal RNA is filed under the name uncultured Microbacterium sp. RNAcentral's name for it is "bacterial SSU rRNA". It matches the Rfam family "Bacterial small subunit ribosomal RNA", at positions 241 to 839 of the family's 1533-position model. The record is from RNAcentral. Lineage: Bacteria; Bacillati; Actinomycetota; Actinomycetes; Micrococcales; Microbacteriaceae.
UUCACUUGUUGGUGAGGUAAUGGCUCACCAAGGCGUCGACGGGUAGCCGGCCUGAGAGGGUGACCGGCCACACUGGGACUGAGACACGGCCCAGACUCCUACGGGAGGCAGCAGUGGGGAAUAUUGCACAAUGGGCGGAAGCCUGAUGCAGCAACGCCGCGUGAGGGAUGACGGCCUUCGGGUUGUAAACCUCUUUUAGUAGGGAAGAAGCGAGAGUGACGGUACCUGCAGAAAAAGCACCGGCUAACUACGUGCCAGCAGCCGCGGUAAUACGUAGGGUGCAAGCGUUAUCCGGAAUUAUUGGGCGUAAAGAGCUCGUAGGCGGUUUGUCGCGUCUGCUGUGAAAUCCCGAGGCUCAACCUCGGGCCUGCAGUGGGUACGGGCAGACUAGAGUGCGGUAGGGGAGAUUGGAAUUCCUGGUGUAGCGGUGGAAUGCGCAGAUAUCAGGAGGAACACCGAUGGCGAAGGCAGAUCUCUGGGCCGUUACUGACGCUGAGGAGCGAAAGGGUGGGGAGCAAACAGGCUUAGAUACCCUGGUAGUCCACCCCGUAAACGUUGGGAACUAGUUGUGGGGUCCAUUCCACGGAU